AGUGAACGCUGGCGGUAGGCCUAACACAUGCAAGUCGAACGGCAGCACAGUAAGAGCUUGUUCUUACGGGUGGCGAGUGGCGGACGGGUGAGGAAUACAUCGGAAUCUACUUUUUCGUGGGGGAUAACGUAGGGACACUUACGCUAAUACCGCAUACGACCUACGGGUGAAAGCAGGGGAUCUUCGGCCCUUGCGCGAUUGAAUGAGCCGAUGUCGGAUUAGCUAGUUGGCGGGGUAAAGGCCCACCAAGGCGACGAUCCGUAGCUGGUCUGAGAGGAUGAUCAGCCACACUGGAACUGAGACACGGUCCAGACUCCUACGGGAGGCAGCAGUGGGGAAUAUUGGACAAUGGGCGCAAGCCUGAUCCAGCCAUGCCGCGUGGGUGAAGAAGGCCUUCGGGUUGUAAAGCCCUUUUAUUGGGGAAGAAAAGCAGCAGGUUAAUACCCCGCUGUUCUGACGGUACCCAAAGAAUAAGCACCGGCUAACUUCGUG
This 492-nucleotide ribosomal RNA is filed under the name uncultured bacterium. RNAcentral's name for it is "partial 16S ribosomal RNA". It matches the Rfam family "Bacterial small subunit ribosomal RNA", at positions 29 to 507 of the family's 1533-position model. The record is from RNAcentral.